UAUGGCCACAUCACAUUGAAACAUCAGUUCUUGUACAAUCACCAAAGUUAAGCAACAUAGAGCCUAGUCAGUACCAAGAUGGGUGACAACUUGGGAAUACCAGCUGCUGUAA
Molecule: ribosomal RNA, 112 nt
Filed under: Acanthosepion pharaonis
Lineage: Eukaryota; Metazoa; Mollusca; Cephalopoda; Sepiida; Sepiidae
Source: RNAcentral